GUAAUGGCCUACCAAGGCGUCGACGGGUAGCCGACCUGAGAGGGUGACCGGCCACACUGGGACUGAGACACGGCCCAGACUCCUACGGGAGGCAGCAGUGGGGAAUAUUGCACAAUGGGCGGAAGCCUGAUGCAGCGACGCCGCGUGAGGGAUGAAGGCCUUCGGGUUGUAAACCUCUUUCAGCAGGGACGAAGCGUGAGUGACGGUACCUGCAGAAGAAGCACCGGCUAACUACGUGCCAGCAGCCGCGGUAAUACGUAGGGUGCGAGCGUUGUCCGGAAUUACUGGGCGUAAAGAGUUCGUAGGCGGUUUGUCGCGUCGUUUGUGAAAACCCGGGGCUCAACUUCGGGCUUGCAGGCGAUACGGGCAGACUUGAGUGUUUCAGGGGGGACUGGAAUUCCUGGUGUAGCGGUGAAAUGCGCAGAUAUCAGGAGGAACACCGGUGGCGAAGGCGGGUCUCUGGGCCGAUACUGACGCUGAGGAGCGAAAGCGUGGGGAGCGAACAGGAUUAGAUACCCUGGUAGUCCACGCCGUAAACGUUGGGCGCUAGG
RNAcentral lists this ribosomal RNA (551 nucleotides) under uncultured Actinomycetes bacterium. RNAcentral's name for it is "bacterial SSU rRNA". It matches the Rfam family "Bacterial small subunit ribosomal RNA", at positions 257 to 820 of the family's 1533-position model. Lineage: Bacteria; Bacillati; Actinomycetota; Actinomycetes. The record is from RNAcentral.